Molecule: ribosomal RNA, 459 nt
Filed under: Nanna tibiella
Lineage: Eukaryota; Metazoa; Arthropoda; Insecta; Diptera; Scathophagidae
Description: partial 16S ribosomal RNA
Rfam family: Bacterial large subunit ribosomal RNA
Source: RNAcentral
UUUAAAUGGCCGCAGUAUACUAACUGUGCAAAGGUAGCAUAAUCAUUAGUCUUUUAAUUGGAGGCUGGUAUGAAUGGUUGGACGAGAUAUUAACUGUUUCAUAAAAAUUUUUAUUAGAAUUUUAUUUUUUAGUUAAAAAGCUAAAAUUUAUUUAAAAGACGAGAAGACCCUAUAAAUCUUUAUAUUUACAUUAUUAUAAUUUUAUAGAUUAUUUUUGUUAUGAUAAUAAUAAUAUUUUAUUGGGGUGAUAUUAAAAUUUAAUAAACUUUUAAUUUUUAAAAUCAUUAAUUUAUGAGUAAUUGAUCCGUUAUUAACGAUUAAAAAAAUAAGUUACUUUAGGGAUAACAGCGUAAUUUUUUUGGAGAGUUCUUAUCGAUAAAAAAGAUUGCGACCUCGAUGUUGGAUUAAGAUAUAAUUUUAGGUGUAGUCGCUUAAAUUUUAAGUCUGUUCGACUUUUAA